Molecule: ribosomal RNA, 1375 nt
Filed under: metagenome
Description: bacterial SSU rRNA
Rfam family: Bacterial small subunit ribosomal RNA
Source: RNAcentral
AGAGUUUGAUCCUGGCUCAGAUUGAACGCUGGCGGCAUGCCUUACACAUGCAAGUCGAACGGCAGCGCGGGGCAACCUGGCGGCGAGUGGCGAACGGGUGAGUAAUAUAUCGGAACGUACCCUGGAGUGGGGGAUAACGUAGCGAAAGUUACGCUAAUACCGCAUACGAUCUAAGGAUGAAAGCAGGGGACCGCAAGGCCUUGUGCUCCUGGAGCGGCCGAUAUCUGAUUAGCUAGUUGGUGGGGUAAAGGCCCACCAAGGCAUCGAUCAGUAGCUGGUCUGAGAGGACGACCAGCCACACUGGAACUGAGACACGGUCCAGACUCCUACGGGAGGCAGCAGUGGGGAAUUUUGGACAAUGGGCGCAAGCCUGAUCCAGCAAUGCCGCGUGAGUGAAGAAGGCCUUCGGGUUGUAAAGCUCUUUUGUCAGGGAAGAAACGGCCUGUUCUAAUACAGUGGGCUAAUGACGGUACCUGAAGAAUAAGCACCGGCUAACUACGUGCCAGCAGCCGCGGUAAUACGUAGGGUGCAAGCGUUAAUCGGAAUUACUGGGCGUAAAGCGUGCGCAGGCGGUUUUGUAAGUCUGUCGUGAAAUCCCCGGGCUCAACCUGGGAAUGGCGAUGGAGACUGCAAGGCUAGAGUUUGGCAGAGGGGGGUAGAAUUCCACGUGUAGCAGUGAAAUGCGUAGAUAUGUGGAGGAACACCGAUGGCGAAGGCAGCCCCCUGGGUCAAAACUGACGCUCAUGCACGAAAGCGUGGGGACAAACAGGAUUAGAUACCCUGGUAGUCCACGCCCUAAACGAUGUCUACUAGUUGUCGGGUCUUAAUUGACUUGGUAACGCAGCUAACGCGUGAAGUAGACCGCCUGGGGAGUACGGUCGCAAGAUUAAAACUCAAAGGAAUUGACGGGGACCCGCACAAGCGGUGGAUGAUGUGGAUUAAUUCGAUGCAACGCGAAAAACCUUACCUACCCUUGACAUGGAAGGAAUCCCGGAGAGAUUUGGGAGUGCCCGAAAGGGAACCUUUACACAGGUGCUGCAUGGCUGUCGUCAGCUCGUGUCGUGAGAUGUUGGGUUAAGUCCCGCAACGAGUGCAACCCUUGUCAUUAGUUGCUACGAAAGAGCACUCUAAUGAGACUGCCGGUGACAAACCGGAGGAAGGUGGGGAUGACGUCAAGUCCUCAUGGCCCUUAUGGGUAGGGCUUCACACGUCAUACAAUGGUACAUACAGAGGGCCGCCAACCCGCGAGGGGGAGCUAAUCCCAGAAAGUGUAUCGUAGUCCGGAUUGUAGUCUGCAACUCGACUGCAUGAAGUUGGAAUCGCUAGUAAUCGCGGAUCAGCAUGUCGCGGUGAAUACGUUCCCGGGUCUUGUAGA